RNAcentral lists this telomerase RNA (585 nucleotides) under Pseudogymnoascus sp. VKM F-4281 (FW-2241). RNAcentral describes it as "Ascomycota telomerase RNA". It matches the Rfam family "Ascomycota telomerase RNA", at positions 215 to 830 of the family's 1858-position model. Lineage: Eukaryota; Fungi; Ascomycota; Leotiomycetes; Thelebolales; Thelebolaceae. The record is from Rfam by way of RNAcentral.
GCGCCUUCCCCACAGUCAUCCAGUACUCAUUUUCCGAAAGGAAUGCCUCUGGCCUCUUCUCUAGUCCAGCAACCUCUCGCGGCGUCGCAUCCUCGAGCUCCACGCGAGACUCACUAUGAGAAUGCCGCGAUCGGUUCCGCGUCUGGUUGCAGCCCCCCCAGAUGGGCGGGCAACAUGGACUGGAGUUGGGAAUGGGUAUUGGAACUUAACCCUAAGUAAUCGUUGGUUUUUCCAAGUUUUGCAGAUAUGUUGCUCGGCUUGUUUACUACGUUUUUGGUACGAAACUUGUUAAGCUGAAAAGUGGCGCAACAGAAGAUCAAGGGCCGAAACAGAAGCUGGGGAGCCCAGAGUCUUCGGAUACAAAAGAGAUGUUCCUAUGAGCCAUUCUGGUAAUACCCUCCGCGAGGGAGCUCGUCAGUUUCAUCUGCUGGGCGUUAUACUCUGAUCAAGUCCCGACUGUUUCUUUGGUGCCCAAGUCAUUGGUACGGUGGGAUAUACGUGCUGGUUACAUAUAUACAACUCUCGGUGUGGAGGUUGUAUUCGGGUGUUUUCAACUGUGCUGAUUUCGAUGAAAGCCUUUUGGCA